This 253-nucleotide ribosomal RNA is filed under the name uncultured bacterium. RNAcentral's name for it is "partial 16S ribosomal RNA". It matches the Rfam family "Bacterial small subunit ribosomal RNA", at positions 524 to 776 of the family's 1533-position model. The record is from RNAcentral.
UACGUAGGGUGCAAGCGUUGUCCGGAAUUAUUGGGCGUAAAGAGCUCGUAGGCGGUUUGUCGCGUCGGCUGUGAAAACCUGGGGCUCAACCCCGGGCCUGCAGCCGAUACGGGCAAACUAGAAUUCGGUAGGGGAGACUGGAAUUCCUGGUGUAGCGGUGGAAUGCGCAGAUAUCAGGAGGAACACCGGUGGCGAAGGCGGGUCUCUGGGCAGUAACUGACGCUGAGGAGCGAAAGCGUGGGGAGCGAACAGG